GGAUGUGAGAGUGAUCUGGCUGGGACAUGCAUCACCCCACUGAUCACUAGGGUUGAUUUGGUUGAUCUGGUUGGCUAGGCGGGUGGCCCCUUCCUCCUUCACUACUCCAUAUAUGUCUCUCCUGAGGCUGUGAGCCUUCCCUGAUGGAGGAGGCCUGUUCUUUUGUUACGGGUAUAGGAAUAGCUGUGCUCCCCUGCUAGAACCUCCAGACAAGCUCUCAAGGUCCAUUUUUAGGAGACUAUACAGUAGUCAAGCUUCCAAGACUCCAGGUACAUCCAGAUGAGGCAGUUCAUAUGGCAGUCUGCCUUUCUUG
This is a non-coding RNA of Ailuropoda melanoleuca (giant panda), 313 nucleotides long. The record is from Rfam. NCBI's taxonomy places the organism in Eukaryota, Metazoa, Chordata, Mammalia, Carnivora, Ursidae.